Schizosaccharomyces pombe (fission yeast) is the source of this 239-nucleotide non-coding RNA. NCBI's taxonomy places the organism in Eukaryota, Fungi, Ascomycota, Schizosaccharomycetes, Schizosaccharomycetales, Schizosaccharomycetaceae. The record is from the annotation of a GenBank genome assembly.
UCGACACUAGAAAGCCAACAACCAAAACCCGGGUGAGAAUGAUACCAACCUACAACCAUUUCUGGCCGUCCUGUUUGCUUAAGCAUAUCCAUCAUAUUUUUUUGGAAAACUGGAUCGACUGCUUCUACACUGACACCUGUACCAGAUUGAGGCAUUGCAAAAACAUCAACAACACGUACUGUAAAGUCAUCAACGAAUUCUCCUAACAUCAAACCCAUAACUUCCAUUGGUGUACCAUG